AACGCGAAGAACCUUACCUGGGCUCGAACGGCUCACGAAACUCCUUGGAAACAGGGAUUUCCCGCAAGGGACGGGAGUCGAGGUGCUGCAUGGCUGUCGUCAGCUCGUGUCGUGAGAUGUUGGGUUAAGUCCCGCAACGAGCGCAACCCUUGUCCUGUGUUGCCACUCCGUAAGGAAGCACUCGCAGGAGACCGCCAGCGAUAAGCUGGAGGAAGGUGGGGAUGAUGUCAAGUCAUCAUGGCCUUUAUGUCCAGGGCUACACACGUGCUACAAUGGGCGGUACAAAGCGCUGCAAACCCGCGAGGGGGAGCUAAUCGCAAAAAACCGUUCUCAGUUCGGAUCGCAGGCUGCAACUCGCCUGCGUGAAGCUGGAAUCGCUAGUAAUGGUGUAUCAGAAUGAUACCGUGAAUACGUUCCCGGGCCUUGUACACACCGGAGUGC
RNAcentral lists this ribosomal RNA (441 nucleotides) under uncultured bacterium. Its description in RNAcentral is "bacterial SSU rRNA". It matches the Rfam family "Bacterial small subunit ribosomal RNA", at positions 958 to 1398 of the family's 1533-position model. The record is from RNAcentral.